Small nucleolar RNA from Fukomys damarensis (Damara mole-rat), 79 nucleotides. NCBI's taxonomy places the organism in Eukaryota, Metazoa, Chordata, Mammalia, Rodentia, Bathyergidae. The record is from Ensembl.
AGAGUUACAUGAUGAAUAAAGUCAAAUCACCAUCUUUUGGCUGAGCUCCUGAUGGGUUUCCUAUUUUCUGAUAAAGCCA